GCUUUGGUAGUUUAACGCCAAAACACUGGUCUUGUAAUCCAGCAAUGAAAUUUUUUUCUCAAAGCA
This 66-nucleotide transfer RNA is filed under the name Notostomus gibbosus. RNAcentral describes it as "tRNA-Thr". It matches the Rfam family "tRNA". From Rfam's summary of the family: Transfer RNA (tRNA) molecules are approximately 80 nucleotides in length. Their secondary structure includes four short double-helical elements and three loops (D, anti-codon, and T loops). Lineage: Eukaryota; Metazoa; Arthropoda; Malacostraca; Decapoda; Oplophoridae. The record is from RNAcentral.